Molecule: long non-coding RNA, 324 nt
Organism: Solanum stenotomum
Lineage: Eukaryota; Viridiplantae; Streptophyta; Magnoliopsida; Solanales; Solanaceae
Exons: 2
Source: RefSeq, a predicted model, not a curated record
UCAUUCGUUGUUUCCUUUUUCUUUUUCUUCUUUCUCUUGCCUGUGAGAUCGAUAGAACAAUCAACAUCUUCAAUGACAAUGAUGGACUUGCUUGUUGUUUCCAUGAGCAAUUUCUUAAGCCCUGAGUUAUCCUUAACAGAGGUGAGCUCAAGAUCAUAAAUAUCAUAAUUCAAGUAAUUCGCAAUAGCUGCAAUCAUAGUUGAUUUUCCAGUUCCUGGUGGACCAUAAAGAAGAUAACCGCGCUUCCACGCCUUUCCAACUUUGGAAUAAUAAUCCUUCCCCUUGCUGAACGCAAUGAGAUCGUUGAUUAUUUCCGCUUUCUUC